RNAcentral lists this ribosomal RNA (301 nucleotides) under uncultured bacterium. RNAcentral's name for it is "partial 16S ribosomal RNA". It matches the Rfam family "Bacterial small subunit ribosomal RNA", at positions 509 to 807 of the family's 1533-position model. The record is from RNAcentral.
CAGCCGCCGCGGGAACACGGAGGGGGCUAGCGUUGUUCGGAAUUACUGGGCGUAAAGCGCACGUAGGCUGCUUUGUAAGUUAGAGGUGAAAGCCUGGUGCUCAACACCAGAACUGCCUUUAAGACUGCAGAGCUAGAACGUCGGAGAGGUGAGUGGAAUUCCGAGUGUAGAGGUGAAAUUCGUAGAUAUUCGGAAGAACACCAGUGGCGAAGGCGGCUCACUGGACGACUGUUGACGCUGAGGUGCGAAAGCGUGGGGAGCAAACAGGAUUAGAUACCCGGGUAGUCCCUGUCUCUUAUAC